Ruditapes philippinarum (Manila clam) is the source of this 1433-nucleotide long non-coding RNA. RefSeq lists it as uncharacterized. The record is from RefSeq and is a predicted model, not a curated record. NCBI's taxonomy places the organism in Eukaryota, Metazoa, Mollusca, Bivalvia, Venerida, Veneridae. The transcript is spliced from 3 exons.
GCUCACCAUAAAUUGCUGCAUUACAAGAGCUUAUUUUCACACCAAGAAUUAACUUGCAAAAUUUCAAGUGUAAUCUCUCUAUAUAUUUAGAUUUUGUAAAUCCCCAGACUUGACAAGCAUAAUCUAAGAUAGAUGUAGUGUGUUUAUUUUCAUUCACUGUCGAGUUGGUUUUCUUAAUUAAUGUAAACUCUUUUCUGUCAGCAGAAGAUAUAAUCAUGUUAAGAGAAGAAACCGUGUUGAUUGUUAUCUGAAGAGUGAAUGCAUUUAUUAUGUUAUGUUCUCUACUUGUAAACAUUUACGUUUUUUCUUGCGUCAUGAUUUCAAGGUCAGUCUAGCCUUUUCUCGUGGGAAACAUUUCGUAAAAUUGUAGAUAUAUGAAAACACCUGUUGUAUCUUAAAGGCAAACAAUAUGGAGGUUAUUCGUUGCCAAAACUCCAGCCUUUGAAACUUGGCAAUGCAUCCCAGCAAACACUUGACGUUGUUUCAACGUUGGAUCUAAGUUGGAUUUAUGUCACGACGUCAAAAUCCUAAAUACAACGUUGAAACAAAUUUGUGACGUCGUAUCAACGUGUUGGAAUUACGUCGAUACGACGUCGGAUUUCAGUGUAAUCCAACAUAGUAGUCUUGAUUGUGUCACUUCCCUUUGUUCUGAUUUAUAAACCCGAUAGGUGGCUCUAAUUUCAGGUCAAUAUAAUCAUUCGAAUUUUGUUAUUCAUUUUUUUUUCACAUCCAUUGUAUUUUUUUUUAAAUUGUUGUUAAACUAGACCAUAAAAAGGAACAAUAUUAGCAUUUCAAUUAAAUGAAUUGAAAAAAAAAAUAAUGGAAACUUGAUGAAUUUCAAAACGAGGCUACAACAACAAUUUGUUUUCAAAUUCAAACAAAGACAAAGGAAGGACAUUAUGCACAUCAUAGAAGACAAUUCGCAUAGUGAAAAACUGACACUUAAUAUUUGUGUGAUGACAAUGAGCUGAUAAGAUUGUAUACAUGAAAAACAGUCGACAGAAAACACCAUUUGGACAUAAAAGAAUGAUAAGUGCAUCAAAUUAAGUUUCAAGGAAAAAAAACAAGUUGAACCUCAAAACAAGUUUGACACAGUGUCUUCGUAGAUGAAAAAUAAUCAGGAUCCAGUGGCGGACGUUUAGUAUACCAGAAAUAUUCACAUGGAGGAGUAUAUCUCCAAAUUUAAUUCUUUUAAGUUAGUUUUGAAAGAAUAAAGAUAAAAAAUACUUCCUUUCUUUAAAUGUGAAUAUUUAUUUAUUGUUUUGUGUGUUACACUUAAUUUUGACAGAAAGGAAUAUUUUCCCUCACUUAUCCGAUUUGUUACCGAUGAAAUCAGCUGCAAAAGAAAGCUUUACUUUCCAUGAUUUCCAUUUUCUAUGAGUUAUUUAAAAGAAAACCUUUUUAAGCAUGUUGUUACGGAAGAGCAUAAGUGC